This is a long non-coding RNA of Cornus florida, 2030 nucleotides long. RefSeq lists it as uncharacterized. NCBI's taxonomy places the organism in Eukaryota, Viridiplantae, Streptophyta, Magnoliopsida, Cornales, Cornaceae. The transcript has 2 exons. The record is from RefSeq and is a predicted model, not a curated record.
CUUUGUUCUACUCAUUCCCUUUGUCUUUUGUGUUUCGAUUCAUCUGUAGAACGACUUUAGAGAAUUAUUUGUAAAUUAAUUUGAUUAUAUUUAUGCUAAGGAUGGACCUUAACAAAGGAAUAAGUGUGUAUAUAUAUAACUAUAUAUAUAUAUAUACGUAUAUAUAUACAUGAAUUUAGUUUUGUAGUCUCUGGUUUUUUUAUUUCAUACAAAAUUAUUGCAAUUGAGUAAAAUAACUACCCAAUUUGUACGGACCAUCAACAGCUUUUUGUCCUCUUCCUUUACUGAGGGUUUAUUGAUUCAUUCUUUGCAAUUGAUUUAAUCUUUGAAAUUUAUUUUGCAAGUCUAUUUGUCUUGCAAUUGAUGGUGUAAGUGGGUUUGUUUGGUUUGCAAUUUAAAUCAUUAAUUGUAUUUGGUUAAUUACUGUAGGAUUGGGUUUGUUGGUUUUGCAAUUUAAAUCAUUAAUUGCAUUUGAUUAAAUUACUGUAGGACUGGGUUUAUUGAUUUUGCAAUUUAAAUCAUUAAUUGCAUUUGAUUAAAUUACUGUAGGAGUGGGUUAUUUGUUUUAAGCUGUAAGUUGCAUGGUAAGGUAUCAAAAAAAAAAAAAAAAAAAAAUAAUAAUAAUAAUAGUAAUAGUAAUCCAGGCUGCAUUAUUGGUUGCAUGAAAUUUUUAAUACUUUUAUAAAAAUUGUUACUUUGUUUAAGUGGGUUUAUUUGUUAAAGUGGGUUUAAUAAGUUAUGUUAAUAAUUUCGGAUGAAGGUAAGGUUUAAUUAUCAUGUUUAUAGGUUUGUAGUUAAGAAGUUAUUUGAAUUGCAAGUUUCUUGUAUGAUAUUUAUAAUUUUUUAUUUUGCUAUAUCAAUUGUUACAGAUUACGGAAUGAUUAUAAUUAUACAUGUGAUUAUAUAUGUAUAUGAACUUAUGCAUACUUUGAUAUAAGUUUGCAUAGUAGGACCAUUGUCAGGAUAUGGUCUUAGAAGCACCAUUGUUAGGAUAUGGCUUGCUGAUACAUAUAUGGGCUGGCUAUUAAGUCUAGACCUAUACGUGUAGUCAUACCAUUGUCAGGAUAUGGUUAUGACUUUAUAUUGUGCCAUUGUCAGGAUAUGGCUAUAGUUACUUACAUAAAUAUAUUUUAAUUGGGUACCAUGAUACGAGCUUGAGAUCUCGGGAUCGAUGGUUAGGGUUGGCGUAUAUUGCCAGGUGAGAUGAGUAGCUGGAUAUAGGGAUGUGUGUGCACUGGUAGAAGAUGUACUUAUGACCACCUUGUGUGCGCUUGCAUGAGACCUACUAUCCGGUUGAGGCUGUCUUAUGAUCCAGUGAAAAUCUAUAGUGUGUAUACUUAUGUAUAUUGACUUAUGUAGUUAUUGCAUGAGUCAGACUAGGAUGGAUCGUUUAUCGGGGUUCUGUUUGGGAUGUAGUAGAAAGGGCUUGUUCGUGGGUUUUGACCUACCUUUGUUGUUAUCUUUUCAGGUCCUCAAUAGUUCCAGACGUAGAGUCAGUUCGUGCAGAGCAGAAGCCAGACUUCAUCACUCUUCCGGUGUCAUAGACACCUGAUCAACCUGUGUUUCGAAGUUAGGGGGUAUCACAAUGAUCGCCCUUGACUUGGGAACAUCCAUGGGAAUACAACCCUCAUUGAACAAGGGAUCUUGAGGGACAUUGGACCUCCUUGGACGUGAGGGCUUCGAUAUAUUCUUGGGUGUAGAAGGCCACACUGAUUGUAUGAACAGGCGAAGUAAUGAGACUCCAUUGCUAGAGACAUUCUCAGUGGUAGAGGCUUUACUAAUAGGUAGGGACCCCCUUGUUGGUGGUGAUCUCCUUGGUGGGUGGAGACCCACCCGUUUAUUUAGGCGCGGAAGAACCAGGCCUUAGUCUUCAGGAGACAGGGUUUGGUCUUGGGCGACCAGACUGUUGGGAUUUAUAUGCCCUAGCAUAGCAAAUUCCUGUUUGGAUUAAAGUGACAUAUGUUCCUGACGUUUCUGAAAUAUUUAUGUUUUAUACAAUUAGUGAAUUCAAUGUAUUAUAUUUCGAUUCA